UGGGGAAUUUUGGACAAUGGGGGAAACCUUGAUCCAGCCAUCCCGCGUGUGCGAUGAAGGCCUUCGGGUUGUAAAGCACUUUUGGCAGGAAAGAAACGUCAUGGGUUAAUACCCCGUGAAACUGACGGUACCUGCAGAAUAAGCACCGGCUAACUACGUGCCAGCAGCCGCGGUAAUACGUAGGGUGCAAGCGUUAAUCGGAAUUACUGGGCGUAAAGCGUGCGCAGGCGGUUCGGAAAGAAAGAUGUGAAAUCCCAGAGCUCAACUUUGGAACUGCAUUUUUAACUACCGGGCUAGAGUGUGUCAGAGGGAGGUGGAAUUCCGCGUGUAGCAGUGAAAUGCGUAGAUAUGCGGAGGAACACCGAUGGCGAAGGCAGCCUCCUGGGAUAACACUGACGCUCAUGCACGAAAGCGUGGGGAGCAAACAGG
RNAcentral lists this ribosomal RNA (429 nucleotides) under Acidobacteriota bacterium. RNAcentral's name for it is "Acidobacteria bacterium partial 16S ribosomal RNA". It matches the Rfam family "Bacterial small subunit ribosomal RNA", at positions 355 to 776 of the family's 1533-position model. The record is from RNAcentral. Lineage: Bacteria; Pseudomonadati; Acidobacteriota.